UACGGAGGGUGCAAGCGUUAUCCGGAUUCACUGGGUUUAAAGGGUGCGUAGGUGGGCAGGUAAGUCAGUGGUGAAAUCUCUGGGCUCAACUCAGAAACUGCCAUUGAUACUAUUUGUCUUGAAUACCGUGGAGGUCAGCGGAAUAUGUCAUGUAGCGGUGAAAUGCUUAGAUAUGACAUAGAACACCAAUUGCGGAGGCAGCUGGCUACACGAAUAUUGACACUGAUGCACGAAAGCGUGGGGAUCAAACAGG
Molecule: ribosomal RNA, 253 nt
Filed under: uncultured bacterium
Lineage: Bacteria
Description: partial 16S ribosomal RNA
Rfam family: Bacterial small subunit ribosomal RNA
Source: RNAcentral